Molecule: transfer-messenger RNA, 390 nt
Filed under: Nostocaceae
Lineage: Bacteria; Bacillati; Cyanobacteriota; Cyanophyceae; Nostocales
Also listed under: 2 other names
Description: RDXV01 sp010672785 Standard tmRNA
Rfam family: transfer-messenger RNA
About the family: Bacterial tmRNA, also known as 10Sa RNA or SsrA, is named for its dual tRNA and mRNA-like properties. Its role is to liberate the mRNA from a stalled ribosome.
Source: RNAcentral
GGGGCUUUAACGGUUUCGACAGGUUGGCGAAAGCUUUUCUGUGAUUCAGGUCGAGAGUGAGUCUCCUCUCGCAAAUCAAAGGCUCAAACAAAAAGUAAAUGCGAACAACAUCGUAAGCUUUGCUCGUAAGGAAGCCCUAGUUGCUGCCUAAUAACCUCUUAUAGGUCCGAGCGUCUCCAGUUUGACUCCGUUAAGGACUAGAGACCAAACCCCAACGGAUGCCCUAACAAGUGUUCUCUGGUUAACUUGUUAGUUAAGACCUAAUCAGAGCAUCCUACGUUCGGGAUAAUGAACGAUUCCUGCCUUGAGGGUGAGAAAGGCUAAACCUGUGAAUGAGCAGGGAGUAAAUACCCAAUUUGGACAUGGGUUCAAUUCCCAUAAGCUCCACUU